Molecule: ribosomal RNA, 1857 nt
Filed under: Cladopathes cf. plumosa NB-2020
Lineage: Eukaryota; Metazoa; Cnidaria; Anthozoa; Antipatharia; Cladopathidae
Description: partial 28S ribosomal RNA
Rfam family: Eukaryotic large subunit ribosomal RNA
Source: RNAcentral
CUCGACCUCAGAUCAGACAAGGCUACCCGCUGAAUUUAAGCAUAUUAAUAAGCGGAGGAAAAGAAACUAACAAGGAUUCCCCCAGUAACGGCGAGUGAAGCGGGAUCAGCUCAAAUUUAAAAUCUCCGUUGCUUGCAACGGCGAAUUGUAGUUUCGAGAAGCGCUUUCUAGGUGGGCCGGCUGCGCCUAAGUUGCUUGGAACAGCACGUCAUAGAGGGUGACAACCCCGUCUGUGGCGUAGGCGGCCGCUGACGAUGUGCUUUCGAAGAGUCGGGUUGUUUGGGAAUGCAGCCCAAAAUGGGUGGUAAACUCCAUCUAAAGCUAAAUAUUGGCACGAGACCGAUAGCGAACAAGUACCGUGAGGGAAAGAUGAAAAGGACUUUGGAAAGAGAGUUAAAAAGUACGUGAAACCGUUAAAAGGGAAACGAAUGGAGCUAGCAAUGCACCCUGUGAGAUUCAGCCGGUCGGUGGUCCGGGCGUGUGGUUUGCAGAUCUGAAUCGACUGUGGCCACACGCUUCUGGCUUCCUGCCGUCGCACUUCCCGCGGGUGCGCGUCAACAUGGGUUGGGACCGGGUCUGAAAGGCACCGGCAAGGUAGGUCCGCACCUUCGGGUUCGUACUGUUCUAGGCCGGCGUUUUCGCGGCCCGUGCCUGACCGAGGAGUUUGCAGCACAUGCCUCGUUUGGCUGGAGUCCCGUCCUGCCGGUUGGCUGUCGACUGUGGUGGACUGCGUGCAGUGCACCGCGACUGCAGCCGGUCGCUGGGGCGGUGACUUCGCACGAUGUGCUUAGGAUGUUGGCGGUCAUAUGGCUUCAUCCGACCCGUCUUGAAACACGGACCAAGGAGUCUACCAUAUGCGCAAGUCUUUGGGUGAUUGAAACCCGCGGGCGCAAUGAAAGUGAAGGCGGCUUCGGCCUGCCGAGGUGAGAACCUCCCCUUAUCGGGGUGGCACAUCAUCGACCGACCUGUUCUACUCUUAGGAAGGUUUGAGUAAGAGCGCAUUUGUUGGGACCCGAAAGAUGGUGAACUAUGCCUGAAUAGGGUGAAGCCAGAGGAAACUCUGGUGGAGGCUCGUAGCGAUUCUGACGUGCAAAUCGAUCGUCAAAUUUGGGUAUAGGGGCGAAAGACUAAUCGAACUGUCUAGUAGCUGGUUCCCUCCGAAGUUUCCCUCAGGAUAGCAGGAGCUCAUUGCAGUUUUAUCAGGUAAAGCGAAUGAUUAGAGGUCUUAGGGUUAAAACAACCUUAACCUAUUCUCAAACUUUAAAUUGGUAAGAAGUCCGACUUGCUCGAUUGAAGCCGGACGUGGAAUGCGAGUUCCUAGUGGGCCAUUUUUGGUAAGCAGAACUGGCGAUGCGGGAUGAACCGAACGCCGAGUUAAGGUGCCAAAGUCGACGCUCAUCAGACCCCACAAAAGGUGUUGGUUGCUAUAGACAGCAGGACGGUGGCCAUGGAAGUCGGAAUCCGCUAAGGAGUGUGUAACAACUCACCUGCCGAAGCAACUAGCCCUGAAAAUGGAUGGCGCUCAAGCGUCGCACCUAUACUCGGCCGUUGGGGCAAACGCCAAGCCCCGACGAGUAGGAGGGCGUGGGGGUCGUGACGCAGCCUUUGGCGUGAGCCUGGGUGAAACGGCCUCUAGUGCAGAUCUUGGUGGUAGUAGCAAAUAUUCAAAUGAGAGCUUUGAAGACCGAAGUGGAGAAAGGUUCCAUGUGAACAGCAGUUGGACAUGGGUUAGUCGAUCCUAAGAGAUAGGGAAACUCCGUUUGAAAGUGCCCAAUUGCGGGCCGCCUAUCGAAAGGGAAUCGGGUUAAUAUUCCCGAACCGGAACACGGAUAUCGCCACCUAGUGGCGGAUGCGGUA